Molecule: ribosomal RNA, 231 nt
Filed under: Triticum aestivum (bread wheat)
Lineage: Eukaryota; Viridiplantae; Streptophyta; Magnoliopsida; Poales; Poaceae
Description: partial small subunit ribosomal RNA
Source: RNAcentral
AUGGAGGCCCUCGCCGCCGGCGCCGAUGUGUCCAUGAUUGGGCAGUUUGGUGUUGGCUUCUACUCCGCCUACCUUGUUGCCGAGAGGGUCAUCGUCACCAUGAAGCACAACAACGACGGGCAGUACGUGUGGGAGUCCCAGGCUGGUAGCUCCUUCACCGUCACUCGUGAUACGUUUGGGGAGCAGCUCGGCAGGGGUACCAAGAUGGUCCUCUACCUCAAGGACGACUAG